GCUGGGCGUGGUGGCGGGUGCCUGUAAUCCCAGCUACUCAGGAGGCUGAGGCAGGAGAAUUGCUUGAACCCGGGAGGCGGAGGUUGCAGUGAGCCAAGAUCGCGCCACUGCACUCCAGCCUGGGCGACAGAGCAAGACUCUGUCUCAA
Molecule: non-coding RNA, 148 nt
Filed under: Pan paniscus (pygmy chimpanzee)
Lineage: Eukaryota; Metazoa; Chordata; Mammalia; Primates; Hominidae
Also listed under: 1 other name
Source: Rfam by way of RNAcentral